RNAcentral lists this non-coding RNA (21 nucleotides) under Arabidopsis thaliana (thale cress). The record is from RNAcentral. Lineage: Eukaryota; Viridiplantae; Streptophyta; Magnoliopsida; Brassicales; Brassicaceae.
UUACUUAUUUACUCCUUCAGU